GUCUUUGUGGAGACUGACAGCCGCGGUCGCAGCUCCGCGGGUAUCCGCUUUAGGGCUGUGGCAGUGUGAAGGAUGGAGGCAGAGGAGAGCGGGGCGCAGCCGCCGAGCGCGGCGCCGGAGCCCAGCGGUGCCGGCCGGCACCUCCCCGACAGCCGCCGCCUGCAGCGCUUCCUGUGCUUCGGCUCCGAGGGCGCCGCCUACCACGCCAAGGACCAGAAGCUGGGCUUGGAAAACGCGGAGGCUUUGCUAAGGCUGAUUGAAGAAGGCAGGGGCUGCGAAGUUGUUGAAGAAAUCAAAGCGUUUAGUCAAGAGGGCAGAGCGGCAAAACAGGAGCCCUUGCUCUUUGCCCUCGCAGUUUGCUCGCAGUGUUCUGAUGCCAAAACAAAACAAGCGGCGUUUAAAGCUGUCCCCGAGGUGUGUUGCAUACCAACCCAUCUCUUUACUUUCAUCCAGUUUAAAAAAGAUCUGAAGGAGGGCAUGAAAUGUGGCAUGUGGGGCCGUGCUCUGAGGAAAGCUGUUGCAGAUUGGUACAAUGGAAAGAAUGGCAUGGCUCUUGCUUUAGCAGUUACAAAAUAUAAGCAAAGAAGUGGUUGGUCUCAUAAAGAUCUUCUGAGGUUGUCCCACCUAAAACCUGCCAGUGAAGGAAUUGCUAUAGUCACUAAGUAUAUUACCAAGGGGUGGAAAGAGGUCCAAGAAGCUUAUAAAGAGAAAGCAGUUUCUGCUGAGACUGAAAAACUCUUGAAGUAUCUGGAGGCUGUGGAGAAAGUAAAACGCACAAAGGAUGAAUUGGAAGUUAUUCAUUUGAUUGAGGAAUAUGGUCUAGUUAGAGAGCAUCUCCUGACAAACCAUCUGAAAUCUAAAGAGGUUUGGAAGGCAUUACUCAAGGAGAUGCCUAUUUCUGUAUUGUUGAGAAAUUUAGGAAAGCUGUCAGCAAAUUCAGUGCUUGAACCACGAGGUUCAGAAGUUGCAAUAGUAUGUGAAAAACUGAGAAAUGAGAAACUGCUAAAAAAGGGUAGAAUACAUCCCUUCCAUAUUUUGGUUGCAUUAGAAACCUAUAAAGCUGGGCAUGGAAACAGAGGGAAGCUUUGGUGGCGUCCUGAUGAAGACAUUUUAGAAGCUUUAGAUGCCUCAUUUUACAAAGCUUUCAAGACAGUGGAACCAACAGGAAAACGCUUUGUAAUUGCAGUUGAUGUUAGUGCAUCAAUGACACAAAAGGUUUUGGGCAGUGUGCUCAGUGCCAGCACAGUUGCAGCAGUAAUGUGUAUGGUUGUAGCACGGACUGAGAAGGAUUCCCAAAUUGUUGCCUUUUCACACGAAAUGGUCCCUUGUCCAGUGACAGCUGACAUGACCUUACCUCAAGUUUUAGUGAAAAUGUAUGAAAUUCCAGUGGGUACCACUGAUUGUUCCCUUCCAAUGAUAUGGGCUCUAAAAACUCAGACAGCUGCUGAUGUCUUCAUUGUAUUUACUGAUAAUGAGACCUUUGCUGGGAAUGCUCCUCCUGCAAUGGCCCUUGCAGAGUACAGAGAGAAAAUGGGUAUUGCUGCUAAGCUGGCUGUGUGUGGAAUGACCUCCCACGGUUUCACGGUCGCGGACCCGGAUGACAGGGGAAUGCUGGAUAUCUGCGGCUUCGAUGCAGGAGCUUUGGACGUCAUUCGAAACUUCACUUUGGGUUUGAUCUAAGUUUUUGAGGCAUCUGCUCUUCCCAGUGGGUCCAUUGCUGGCAACAGACUUCACCCUGGGAAUUCCCAGCCAAAUACACUUUAUUAGCUUAUGGCAUACUGUAUACAUAUCAGAAUGUUACCAGAGAUGGUGGCACUUCAAGCAUUUCUGACUAGAGCUUCUCACUAAGGUGUUUGUAAGGUUAAACAGAACUUCAGUCUCAUGCAAAUCUAACAGAUUCAGAGAAACUCAGUGCUUGCAUCUCUGGUGUCAAACUAACUGUCAGUAGCCAGUCAUCCCCCUGCCACUGGAGGUGGCAGCCACAUGUCACUGCUGUCACCCUGGAACUUGGCGCCAUGCAGCAGCACACUGUGCAUUUGGACACUCCUGGUAAUGGCUGGCAGUGCAGUCAUUCACCCUUCAGAGUCCUGCAGUACAGCUGGCAGCCCUGCUCCAUGCCCCUUCAGAAAGGCAUCUCCACUCCUCAACCACCUUCCUUGUAUUCAGCCUGCUCAUUUUCCCAAGGCAGUUGGUUUCUUCCUAUACACACCCUCAAAACUCUAGUUGGACUUAGUUCCCUGACCAGCCUGGGCUCUGUGUGAGCUGGAGCUCCAAAAAGCAUCAUCCCUUCUGUGAUAACCACAGUAACUGUGCUCUGGGUUCUGUGGGCCAGCAACAGCCAGCCUGGAUCUGUCCCAGGGGGUAAACAGGACCCCCUGUUAUGAUGGGAUGAUGGCAGGACCGCAGUGUAGUUCACAAACCCUUGGUUCCUGGGCUUCACCAAAGUCUUCCUGGCUAUCCUGGCCUGCACCACAUGAAUUACCCCAUCCCUGUUUUCCUCAAGCUCCACAGCUUCCACUGCCUUGAGGAGAAGGGUGGUUUUGCCUGGGCCCAAGGAAGACACCACCACAGCAAACACUUUGUGUCACCAUGCUGGACCCUGCUCUUGAUCUCCACCAGUACUAGAGUCAGCCCAGACACCAGCUUGGCCACAUCCAGUUGCUCAGCAGGGUAAGCGAAGAGGGCCACAAAGUUACCCAGCUCCUUUGGAGUUCUGUUGCUGCAGGUUUCCCUGCUGCAGCAGCCCCUGCUGAGGACAUGCUGCCUUCAUCAGCCACAGGAGGUUGUACUGCAGGAUGGCCAGCUUCUUGUCCCUCAGGACUUCGGCAGCAGCAGAGACCAGCAGUGCCAGGAAGCAGGUGGAUCACCUCCAGAGUGCUGAGCACCACCUUGGAGUCAUUGAGGAGGGUGGAGAGGAAGCUGAGGAGCCCCAGAGGCAAGACUUUGGCCUUUUAGGAUUGAGAAAGUCCCUUGCAAACAAUCCUGAAUGAAAAGGGGUCCAGGAGGGCUGGACAUCCUUCAAGGAUCUUAAAAGAUGCAGGCUGUCCCCAUGUGCUGAAAGAUGAGCCAGUGGGGAAGAAGACAGACCUGGUUGAACAGGGAGCUUGUCACUGGAACUCAGGUCCAUGGAGUCAGAUGGAAUCCACCCAAGCCUCUCUCCACCAUUUGUCAUCAAUCCUGGCUGACCAGGGAAGUCUCAAGACAACUGGAGGUUGGCCAGUGUGGCACCCAUGGAGCACAAGGGCUGGAAGGAGGAUCCAGAAAACCACAGGCCUGUCAGUCUGACCUUGGUGCCAGGGAAGGUUGUGAAACAGAUCAUCUUAAUCACACAGCACAUGCAGGACAGCCAGGGAUCAGGCCCAGCCAGCGUGGCUUUAUGAAAGGCAGGUUCAGCCUGACCAACCUGAUCUACUGUGAAUGGUGACCUCCCUUGUUGAUGUCAUCGACCUGGACUUCAGCAAAGCCUAGGACACUGUUUCUCACAGUAUUCUCCUGGAGAAGCUAGGAGCUUGGCUUGGACAGAUGCACUGUUUGCUGGCUGAAAUACUGGCUGGAUGGCUGGGCACAGAGAGUGGUGGUGACUGAGUCACACCCUGCUGCAGGCUGGACACCGGUGGUGCUCCUAAGGGCUCACUGUUGGGGCCAGUCCUCUUCAGUGUCUUUAUGGCUGAUCUGGACAAGGGGAUUGAGGACACCCUCAGUUUGCAGAUAACACCAGGUUGAGCCAAAGAGUUGAUCUGCUGGAGGGCAGGAAGGCUCUGCAGAGGGAUCUGGACAGGCUGGAUCCAUGGACUGGGGCCAGUUGAAUGGGGUUCAACGAGGCCAAGUGCUGGGUCCUGCCUUUGGGUCACAGCAAUCCCCUGUAAUGCUUCAGGUGGGGCAGAGUGGCUGGAAAGCUGCCCAGUGGAUGCUGGUCAAGAGUGAGUGAACUUGGCCAGCUGUUCUCAGGUGGGCAAGAAGGCCAAGGGCAUCCUGGCUUGGAUCAGAAGGAGUGGCAGCAGGACCAGGGAAUGGCUUGUUCCUCUUUACUUGGCACUGGUGAGGCUGACCCUCAAAUCCUGUUUGCAGCCAAGCAUUGAACAGGCUGCCCAGGGAAGUGGUGGAAUCGUCAUCCAUGGAAGAGUUCCAAAACCAUGUGCAUCUGGUGCUUAGGGACAUGGCUCUGGCAGUGUUGGGUUGAUGGUUGGACUUGAGUUUAAGAGCUCUUUUCCAACUCUCAUGAUUUUGUGAUUCUUUAUUACCUUUUCUUGAAGGGAAAACAAGAAAAGCAGAUGAGGAAUCUCUUUUUUUUUUUUUUUCCUGUUGCACACAAUUUACAAUAACAGUGAGAAGUUUGCUAAAAGAGCUUACAGGGUUACAUAGUAUAUAAUUUAAUUUCAUUUAUAGUAGACUAUAAAUAUGGAGAGAUUUUUAAUUUCCCCCAUUGCUGUGGAAUGCUUAUUUGCGAGAAUAAAUUCAUUAAUUACUUGUAGAAUGGGGCUGGAAACAAAUGGGCUUAGUAUUUGUAAUAAUGGCAGUUUACCAGCAACUUCAUUGAGAGGGACUUUUUGUUGGACUUUUAAAAAUAUUUGUAUUUUAAGUAUUACUAAUGUUCAGUGGUUUCCAUGGUUACAGUUAAAAUCUACUAAAGAAGUUUUUUCUGGUAUGUAUUGAGACCGUGUGACUGUGAUACAGUGUAAAAGUUACCCAGGGACAUUUUAUACUGAUAAAACUGAAAGUGCAAGAGCUCAUGCUAAUCUUUUUCUCUCUGGAUUAUCAUCUGGAUUUUCAGGAGGAAAUAUGCCUUUAGAUAAAUUGAGGGGCAGUUUCUGCACAAUACCAUUUCAGAAGCACUAGUUUAGAAUUCAGACACUUUACAGGAAGUUCUAAAAACUGUUUUAAGUAGAAAAAGACCUUGGAAAUGACUGGGAUCUCACAUUCAGUCCUUGUCACAGCUUCAAGAAGCAUCAGCACACCUUCAGUGAGCAAGAUUACUAAGUGCAUGUGUCUUGGCCUGCUCCCCAAAGCUGAGUGGGAACUACCAGAAACAAAAAACUACAUUUUUUUUUUAUUUUUCAAAAGAAUGUAUUCAAUGGCUCAGAAACAAUCUUCCUAACAGGGGAGUAUUUCAUUUUUUAAAAUCUUUUUGUAGAUUAGUGUUACUUCUGAUUUAAUAAAUUAAUUCAAGCUAACAUAUUUCAAAACUACCUCCAGUUUAUAGUGACCAAUUCUUAAAAACUUUUAUGAACUGUACAGGUGCCCUCCUUCAUGUUCACAAAAUCUGGUUUAGGAAGUGACUGAAACUGGAUUCUUUAUUUUUAGUUUUUUAUUUUUUGUCUGAUAGUAAGAAUGUGACAAAGAGAAAGCCAGUGAGUAUUCUACCACUUUGGAACAGAAAUUGAUAGUAAUUUGUGUGUAUAUGUAUUUAAUUCUGUGUUUUCUAUAUGUGUGUACAGGGGGGAAGUUAAAAGAUCUCUUUAGUAGAUCAGUCUUACAAGAUUUGAAAGGUUUUUUAGUGAUGCUUUUAUGACUUCCUCUAAAACAUACGUAUUUCAGCCUCUUUUAUGCUAAUGCAGACUGUUUUAAACAGUGAGUUUGAUGUUAAUUUGAAAAUAAUGAUUUAUAAAAAUUUCAUGUUUACCCAUAGUGGUAAAUUACACAUAAGACCAUAUUUUUCUGCCUAAAACCCAAGCUUUUAAAUGUAAAAUUGAAGUUCCUACUAUACUUUUAGUACUUGUAGCACUUUUCAUUAUGCCUCAUUCCUAUUGAUUAUAAAUUCAAAGCUUACAUUCUGUAGCUGGGAUAUCUCUUUUGGUGCUAAAAUAGGAUGUUACAUGUUACUGAAGGUAUUCUGCUACUUACUUACACUCUCCCUUAAUGCAUAAUCAAUCCAGUGAGGGAAGCCUUUCCUGGCACAAAGCAGGGCUUCAGGAGCUGCUGGGUAGAGUGUUGCCUUUCAGCCAACAUGAAUGUAAGUCACUCCUGAAUUCUCACAGAAGAGCUCUGACAGGAUGCUUGGAGACACAGGACUGCCACCAGCUCCUCAGGUGAGUUCUAGAACAAGCCAAGUGUUCCUGCAAAAGCUAAGGCAGCACUUUUGGGUUUGCAAAAAGAAGAGCAGCCAUUUUUCGUGAAAAAUUGCAUAUCAUUUUUAGCAUCUA
Molecule: RNA transcript, 6140 nt
Organism: Ficedula albicollis (Collared flycatcher)
Lineage: Eukaryota; Metazoa; Chordata; Aves; Passeriformes; Muscicapidae
Gene: RO60
Gene name: TROVE domain family member 2
Exons: 10
Source: RefSeq, a predicted model, not a curated record